Molecule: ribosomal RNA, 216 nt
Filed under: Glomeromycotina sp.
Lineage: Eukaryota; Fungi; Glomeromycota
Description: partial small subunit ribosomal RNA
Rfam family: Eukaryotic small subunit ribosomal RNA (bases 40-216)
Source: RNAcentral
GGGUCAGUAGGUUGGUCGUGCCACCGGUACGUACUGGUCUCACUGAUUCCUCCUUCCUGAAGAACCGUAAUGCCAUUAAUUUGGUGUUGCGGGGAAACAGGACUGUUACUUUGAUAAAAUUAGAGUGUUUAAAGCAAGCUAACGCUUGAAUACAUUAGCAUGGAAUAAUGAAAUAGGACGAUCGAUCCUAUUUUGUUGGUUUCUAGGAUUGACGUA